GCAUUUUGAGCAGCAGCAAAGAAGCAGAACAACGUAAAAUGUGUGGUGGAAGGCUCAAAAGGGAAGUGGAACAGUUCGAUAAAAAACAGCAAGAAUGAUGAGGUCAUUGAUAGGAAAUGAUUAAAGAUUUUGUUGGAGAUUGGGAUGGAAGGUGUGCGGGAAGAGAAUGCAAACUCAUGUAAUUGCACUUUGCAGUGCAUUUGGUUCCCAAAACCCUAGAUGUUGUUUUUAUGUUUUAGACAUAGAAGUAAAAAGGUAGUUGGUAAAAGUCAACAACAUUAGUCUUCCUUCUUCAAGCAUGCUUGUCUAACAACAAGCUCAAUAGGUAGUUCAAGCUUAUAACUUGGUCUAAAACUAGCAUUUGAGCUAAGAGGAGCCAACUGCCAAGCUGAGUUUCUGCAGCAAAUAGCUUGGCUAAUGCACAACAAUAGUUUCAAUGGUUUAUCCUCACUGUUCCUUUAUUCAUAGCAUGAUUGUGCUUGGUUUUUUUGCUUUGUAGUCAUGAUUGAGGCUCUGUUCAGUGUUCCUGUCGUGAUCGAAGCUUCAGUCCAAGAUUAUUGUGAAUCUAAACCAAACUUUGCUGAACUUACCGUACUCCAUGGUGUUUUGGAUUUGAGAAAUUGAAAGUCUUUGAACUUUGUGUACAUGCAUUGGA
RNAcentral lists this long non-coding RNA (655 nucleotides) under Solanum tuberosum (potato). RNAcentral's name for it is "long non-coding RNA (STUB_LNC003861)". The record is from RNAcentral. Lineage: Eukaryota; Viridiplantae; Streptophyta; Magnoliopsida; Solanales; Solanaceae.